UACGAAGGGGGCUAGCGUUGUUCGGAAUUACUGGGCGUAAAGCGCACGUAGGCGGAUUGUUAAGUUAGGGGUGAAAUCCCAGGGCUCAACCCUGGAACUGCCUUUAAUACUGGCAAUCUCGAGUCCGAGAGAGGUGAGUGGAAUUCCGAGUGCAGAGGUGAAAUUCGUAGAUAUUCGGAGGAACACCAGUGGCGAAGGCGGCUCACUGGCUCGGUACUGACGCUGAGGUGCGAAAGCGUGGGGAGCAAACAGG
RNAcentral lists this ribosomal RNA (253 nucleotides) under uncultured bacterium. RNAcentral's name for it is "partial 16S ribosomal RNA". It matches the Rfam family "Bacterial small subunit ribosomal RNA", at positions 524 to 776 of the family's 1533-position model. The record is from RNAcentral.